AUUGCUUCUUGGCCUUUUGGCUAAGAUCAAGUGUAGUAUCUGUUCUUAUCUGUUUAAUAUCUGGAGAAAAAAAGUCCCCUAUUUGGGGACCAUAUAUUAAAUGGAUUUUUGAGAACGGGGGCCGAUUUCAAAGCUUGGUUCCAUUGCCCCAUGCAUUGACCCGAUAUGGCAGUAUCUUCGUGUACAGUGCACCAAAA
Small nuclear RNA from Hyla sarda, 197 nucleotides. RefSeq annotates it as U2 spliceosomal RNA. The record is from RefSeq and is a predicted model, not a curated record. The transcript has a single exon. NCBI's taxonomy places the organism in Eukaryota, Metazoa, Chordata, Amphibia, Anura, Hylidae.